Molecule: ribosomal RNA, 486 nt
Filed under: uncultured bacterium
Lineage: Bacteria
Description: partial 16S ribosomal RNA
Rfam family: Bacterial small subunit ribosomal RNA
Source: RNAcentral
AUUGAACGCUGGCGGCAUGCCUUACACAUGCAAGUCGAACGGCAGCACGGGUGCUUGCCCCUGGUGGCGAGUGGCGAACGGGUGAGUAAUACAUCGGAACAUGUCCUGUAGUGGGGGAUAGCCCGGCGAAAGCCGGAUUAAUACCGCAUACGAUCCACGGAUGAAAGCGGGGGACCUUCGGGCCUCGCGCUAUAGGGUUGGCCGAUGGCUGAUUAGCUAGUUGGUGGGGUAAAGGCCUACCAGGGCGACGAUCAGUAGCUGGUCUGAGAGGACGACCAGCCACACUGGGACUGAGACACGGCCCAGACUCCUACGGGAGGCAGCAGUGGGGAAUUUUGGACAAUGGGCGAAAGCCUGAUCCAGCAAUGCCGCGUGUGUGAAGAAGGCCUUCGGGUUGUAAAGCACUUUUGUCCGGAAAGAAAUCCUUGACUCUAAUACAGUCGGGGGAUGACGGUACCGGAAGAAUAAGCACCGGCUAACUACGUG